This is a ribosomal RNA of Aotus nancymaae (Ma's night monkey), 137 nucleotides long. NCBI's taxonomy places the organism in Eukaryota, Metazoa, Chordata, Mammalia, Primates, Aotidae. The record is from Ensembl.
GUCUACAGCAAUACCACCCUGAACACAACACAUCUUGUCUGAUCUUGGAAGCUUGACAGGGUCGGACCUGGUUAAUACCUGGAUUAGAGGAGUAGCUCCCAGAGUUGCUUUGUGUGUAGUGACUUAGCAGUUGGACA